This 258-nucleotide non-coding RNA is filed under the name Lacrimispora saccharolytica. RNAcentral describes it as "Clostridium saccharolyticum T-box sequence". It matches the Rfam family "T-box leader". From Rfam's summary of the family: Uncharged tRNA acts as the effector for transcription antitermination of genes in the T-box leader family. Lineage: Bacteria; Bacillati; Bacillota; Clostridia; Lachnospirales; Lachnospiraceae. The record is from RNAcentral.
GAAAAGGCAAUGAAGAGAAAUAGUACAUAUACAAUGAAUUUCAGAGAGAAGAUGGUUGGUGCGAAUCUUUAUUUUAGUAUAUCGAAGCAGUCUCGGAGCUUUGGACCGAAUAACGGUCUCCGUUCUGAUUUCAGGGAGAUGGUUUAGUAGGCUUCAACGUAUUCCCACGUUACAGGGACACGAUAUGCUGGUAUCGUAGAGAGUGCAGAGAUUUCUCUGAAUUUAGGUGGUAACACGGAUUGUAUAUUCGCCCUAAAC